ACUGCUCAGUAACACGUAGUCAACCUGCCCUGGAGACAUGGACAACCCCGGGAAACUGGGAUUAAUCCGUGAUAGGUCAUCUCAUCUGGAAGGAGAGAUGGCUUAAAGGGGUGCGCGGGCUUCUUCUGCGUAUCUGCUCCAGGAUGGGACUGCGUCCGAUCAGGCUGUUGGCGGGGUAAUGGCCCACCAAACCUGUAACCGGUACGGGCCUUGAGAGAGGUGGCCCGGAGAUGGACACUGAGAGAAGGGUCCAGGUCCUACGGGGCGCAGCAGGCGCGAAACCUUCGCAAUGCGCGAAAGCGUGACGAGGUUAAUCCGAGUGGCCUCCGCUGAGGAGGUCUUUUGUCAGCUGUAAAUAGGCAGGCGAAUAAGGGGAGGGCAAGCCUGGUGUCAGCCGCCGCGGUAAUACCAGCUCCUCGAGUGGUCGGGGCGAUUAUUGGGCCUAAAGCAUCCGUAGCCGGUUCCGUAGGUCCUCUGUUAAAUCCAACCGCUUAACGGUUGACCUGCAGAGGAUACCGCGGGACUAGGAGGCGGGAGAGGCGGACGGUACUCCGCGUGUAGGGGUAAAAUCCUUUGGUCCGCGGAAGACCACCAGUGGCGAAGGCGGUCCGCCAGAACGCGCUCGACGGUGAGGGAUGAAAGCUGGGGGAGCGAACCGGAUUAGAUACCCGGGUAGUCCCAGCCGUAAACGAUGCUAGCUAGAUGAUUCAUUCGCAAGUCGCGAAUGAAGUGUCGCAGGGAAGCCGUUAAGCUAGCCGCCUGGGGAGUACGGUCGCAAGACUGAAACUUAAAGGAAUUGGCGGGGGAGCGA
This 811-nucleotide ribosomal RNA is filed under the name uncultured archaeon. RNAcentral's name for it is "bacterial SSU rRNA". It matches the Rfam family "Archaeal small subunit ribosomal RNA", at positions 85 to 879 of the family's 1478-position model. The record is from RNAcentral.